RNAcentral lists this unclassified non-coding RNA (364 nucleotides) under Hevea brasiliensis (rubber tree). The record is from RNAcentral. Lineage: Eukaryota; Viridiplantae; Streptophyta; Magnoliopsida; Malpighiales; Euphorbiaceae.
GGAGCUGGCACAGUCUGUUUAGACGGAGAAGCAGCGGGUGGUGAAGAUACUGGAGCAGGCGAUUUAGGUUUUGCAGGAGCCUUAGCUGGUGCGGUCACGGGCGCUGCAGGAGUUACCGGAGUAGCCACAGGGGCUACCGGAGUCACCGGAGUAGCAGUAGGAGCCGACGUCGGAGCUUGGCCACCGACACUAGCGACGAUAACGCACAUUAAUGCCACAGUAAACACGCUUUUGCGAUCCAUUUUCAGAGAGAGAACAAGAAAGAAGAAACUAAGGGAGUGCGAAUCGAAAAGCAACACCCACCACCACUGACGAGAACGUAUAUUUAAAAGCCCCUUUUUUAGUUUUAAAAAAAGAGUAACGG